Molecule: ribosomal RNA, 464 nt
Filed under: Vreelandella stevensii
Lineage: Bacteria; Pseudomonadati; Pseudomonadota; Gammaproteobacteria; Oceanospirillales; Halomonadaceae
Description: partial 16S ribosomal RNA
Rfam family: Bacterial small subunit ribosomal RNA
Source: RNAcentral
CCUACGGGGGGCAGCAGUGGGGAAUAUUGGACAAUGGGCGAAAGCCUGAUCCAGCCAUGCCGCGUGUGUGAAGAAGGCCUUCGGGUUGUAAAGCACUUUCAGUGGGGAAGAAAGCCUUGGGGCUAAUACCCUCGAGGAAGGACAUCACCCACAGAAGAAGCACCGGCAACUCCGUGCCAGCAGCCGCGGUAAUACGGAGGGUGCGAGCGUUAAUCGGAAUUACUGGGCGUAAAGCGCGCGUAGGCGGUCUGAUAAGCCGGUUGUGAAAGCCCCGGGCUCAACCUGGGAACGGCAUCCGGAACUGUCAGGCUAGAGUGCAGGAGAGGAAGGUAGAAUUCCCGGUGUAGCGGUGAAAUGCGUAGAGAUCGGGAGGAAUACCAGUGGCGAAGGCGGCCUUCUGGACUGACACUGACGCUGAGGUGCGAAAGCGUGGGUAGCAAACAGGAUUAGAUACCCGAGUAGUC